UACGAAGGGGGCUAGCGUUGUUCGGAAUUACUGGGCGUAAAGGGCGCGUAGGCGGCUUCGCUAGUCGGGCGUGAAAUGCCUGGGCUUAACCCGGGAAUUGCGCUCGAUACUUCGAGGCUAGAGUGUGGGAGAGGUUGGUGGAAUUCCCAGUGUAGAGGUGAAAUUCGUAGAUAUUGGGAAGAACACCGGUGGCGAAGGCGGCCAACUGGACCACAACUGACGCUGAGGCGCGAAAGCGUGGGGAGCAAACAGG
RNAcentral lists this ribosomal RNA (253 nucleotides) under uncultured bacterium. Its description in RNAcentral is "partial 16S ribosomal RNA". It matches the Rfam family "Bacterial small subunit ribosomal RNA", at positions 524 to 776 of the family's 1533-position model. The record is from RNAcentral.